This 1350-nucleotide ribosomal RNA is filed under the name metagenome. RNAcentral describes it as "bacterial LSU rRNA". It matches the Rfam family "Bacterial large subunit ribosomal RNA", at positions 1564 to 2925 of the family's 2925-position model. The record is from RNAcentral.
UGAGUACGAGCUGCUACGGCAGCGAAGUGGGUGAUGUCAAGCUUCCAAGAAAAGCCCUAUACCCGUUAAGGCAUGACGGCCUGUACCCGAAACCGACACAGGUGGGGUGGUAGAGAAUACCGAGGGGCGCGAGAUAACUCUCUCUAAGGAACUCGGCAAAAUGGCCCCGUAACUUCGGGAGAAGGGGUGCCACCGCAAGGUGGUCGCAGUGAAGAGGCCCAGGCGACUGUUUACCAAAAACACAGGUCUCCGCUAAGUCGCAAGACGAUGUAUGGGGGCUGACGCCUGCCCAGUGCCGGAAGGUUAAGGAAGCUGGUCAGCGCAAGCGAAGCUAGCGACUGAAGCCCCGGUGAACGGCGGCCGUAACUAUAACGGUCCUAAGGUAGCGAAAUUCCUUGUCGGGUAAGUUCCGACCCGCACGAAAGGCGUAACGAUCUGGGCGCUGUCUCGGAGAGAGGCUCGGCGAAAUAGAAUUGUCUGUGAAGAUGCGGACUACGUGCACCCGGACAGAAAGACCCUAUGAAGCUUUACUGUAGCUUGGUAUUGUGCCCGGGCUCUGAAUGCGCAGGAUAGGUGGGAGGCUUUGAUCCAUUGCUUGUGGGUAAUGGUGAGCCACUGGUGAGAUACCACUCUUUCAGAGCUAGGGUUCUAACGGUCACCCGUUAUCCGGGGACCGGACAGUAUCAGGUGGGCAGUUUGACUGGGGCGGUCGCCUCCUAAAAGGUAACGGAGGCGCGCAAAGGUUCCCUCAGGCUGGUUGGAAAUCAGCCGACGAGUGUAAAGGCAGAAGGGAGCUCGACUGUGAGACCUACAAGUCGAACAGGGACGAAAGUCGGCCUUAGUGAUCCGACGGUUCUGAGUGGAAGGGCCGUCGCUCAACGGAUAAAAGUUACUCUAAGGAUAACAGGCUGAUCUCCCCCAAGAGUUCACAUCGACGGGGAGGUUUGGCACCUCGAUGUCGGCUCAUCGCAACCUGGGGCUGAAGUCGGUCCCAAGGGUUGGGCUGUUCGCCCAUUAAAGUGGUACGCGAGCUGGGUUCAGAACGUCGUGAGACUGUUCGGUCCAUAUCCGGUGCACGCGCAGGAACAUUGAGAGGAUUUCUCCCUAGUACGAGAGGACCGGGAGGAACGCACCUCUGGUGUACCAGUUAUCGUGCCAACGGUAAACGCUGGGUAGCCAUGUGCGGAGCGGAUAACCGCUGAAAGCAUCUAAGUGGGAAGCCCACCUCAAGAUGAGUGUUCCCAUGGCAUAAGCCAGUAAGGUCACGGGAAGAACACCCGUUGAUAGGCUCUACGUGGAAGCGUGGCAACACGUGAAGCGGAGGAGUACUAAUAGACCGAGGGCUUGACC